CAACAAACAAAUCUAAUCUCUGCAUUAUAUAUCUCUCCCCACAACUGCAUCUUUUAUCAGCCGUUUCAAAAUCUCCAGUGCAGUUUUCGUCCCUUCCAACAAGUGAAAAGGAGGAAUCGAGCAGACUGUGAAUCCAAAUUCUCCUUGCAAUCCCAAUUUAUUCUCUUCAUUCCAAAGGGUGAACUUGUGCACGUUGUUGCGGUUGGAACAGGAAGUGUUUGGGGAGUUAAGCUGUUGAGGUGGGCUUUCUUUUUAAAUAAGGACUAUGUCCUAAAU
Long non-coding RNA from Salvia splendens (bonfire salvia), 276 nucleotides. RefSeq lists it as uncharacterized. The record is from RefSeq and is a predicted model, not a curated record. The transcript has 3 exons. NCBI's taxonomy places the organism in Eukaryota, Viridiplantae, Streptophyta, Magnoliopsida, Lamiales, Lamiaceae.